This 237-nucleotide unclassified non-coding RNA is filed under the name Salibacterium halotolerans. RNAcentral's name for it is "BsrG". Lineage: Bacteria; Bacillati; Bacillota; Bacilli; Caryophanales; Bacillaceae. The record is from RNAcentral.
UUGUACAACAGAGGGCUCUUAAGGGCGGUCGGCUAAUCUCCCAGAGGGGAGGUGAUGCCCAUGGAUAUGUAUCAGACAUUAUCAUUAAUGGUGAUGUUUGGCACGCUCGUCGUGUUGAUCAUGUCCCAAAAGAAAUAGACCGCCCCCACCAAGGAUAACGGUCUAUUUAUUCAGACUUUCCUGAAAAGCCUUCCGCUCUUAAAGCGGCUGUUGUACAGAAGGAGCUGUAUCAAAAGC